GAUGAACGCUGGCGGCGUGCCUAACACAUGCAAGUCGAACGGAGUCGUUUUGGAAAUCUCUUCGGAGAUGGAAUUCUCGACUUAGUGGCGGCCGGGUGAGUAACGCGUGAGCAAUCUGCCUUUAAGAGGGGGAUAACAGUCGGAAACGGCUGCUAAUACCGCAUAAAGCAUUAAAUUCGCAUGUUUUUGAUGCCAAAGGAGCAAUCCGCUUUUAGAUGAGCUCGCGUCUGAUUAGCUAGUUGGCGGGGUAACGGCCCACCAAGGCGACGAUCAGUAGCCGGACUGAGAGGUUGAACGGCCACAUUGGGACUGAGACACGGCCCAGACUCCUACGGGAGGCAGCAGUGGGGAAUAUUGCGCAAUGGGGGAAACCCUGACGCAGCAACGCCGCGUGAUUGAAGAAGGCCUUCGGGUUGUAAAGAUCUUUAAUCAGGGACGAAACAAAUGACGGUACCUGAAGAAUAAGCGCCGGCUAACUACGUG
This 483-nucleotide ribosomal RNA is filed under the name uncultured bacterium. RNAcentral describes it as "partial 16S ribosomal RNA". It matches the Rfam family "Bacterial small subunit ribosomal RNA", at positions 28 to 507 of the family's 1533-position model. The record is from RNAcentral.